This 468-nucleotide ribosomal RNA is filed under the name uncultured Methyloversatilis sp. RNAcentral describes it as "bacterial SSU rRNA". It matches the Rfam family "Bacterial small subunit ribosomal RNA", at positions 336 to 796 of the family's 1533-position model. The record is from RNAcentral. Lineage: Bacteria; Pseudomonadati; Pseudomonadota; Betaproteobacteria; Nitrosomonadales; Sterolibacteriaceae.
UUCCUACGGGGGGCUGCAGUGGGGAAUUUUGGACAAUGGGGGCAACCCUGAUCCAGCCAUUCCGCGUGAGUGAAGAAGGCCUUCGGGUUGUAAAGCUCUUUCGGCAGGAACGAAACGGUGAGCUCUAACAUAGCUUGCUAAUGACGGUACCUGAAGAAGAAGCACCGGCUAACUACGUGCCAGCAGCCGCGGUAAUACGUAGGGUGCGAGCGUUAAUCGGAAUUACUGGGCGUAAAGCGUGCGCAGGCGGUUGUGUAAGACAGGUUUGAAAUCCCCGGGCUGAACCUGGGAACUGCGCUUGUGACUGGACGGCUAGAGUAUGGCAGAGGGGGGUGGAAUUCCACGUGUAGCAGUGAAAUGCGUAGAGAUGUGGAGGAACACCGAUGGCGAAGGCAGCCCCCUGGGCCAAUACUGACGCUCAUGCACGAAAGCGUGGGGAGCAAACAGGAUUAGAUACCCCUGUAGUCC